AGUUGGCUUACACUCGCCACAAGCUACAUCAGAGUCACAUCAGUACAUUACAUAUUCAUCAAGAAUAAGAGCAGGGUCCGACUACGGACGAAAACAAACGAUAAAAUAAGAACGACGUCCAUCCUUGCUAUCCCAGGCUGCCGGCCUGGAACCCAUCCUAGAUUGAUGAAGAAGAAGAAGAAGACGCAACUCCAAAUGAACAAUCAAC
Molecule: long non-coding RNA, 208 nt
Filed under: Hordeum vulgare
Lineage: Eukaryota; Viridiplantae; Streptophyta; Magnoliopsida; Poales; Poaceae
Description: long non-coding RNA (HVUL_LNC018658)
Source: RNAcentral